GACGAACGCUGGCGGCGUGCUUAACACAUGCAAGUCGAACGGAAAGGCCUGCUUUCCCCUGUGGAUUGCGGGUACUCGAGUGGCGAACGGGUGAGUAACACGUGAGUGAUCUGCCCCCAACUUGGGUAUAAGCCUGGGAAACUGGGUCUAAUUCCCGAUAGGACUGCAGGGUGGUGCCUGUGGUGGAAAACGAUUUUCUAGUGGUUGGGGAUGAGCUCGCGGCCUAUCAGCUUGUUGGUGGGGUAAUGGCCUACCAAGGCGGCGACGGGUAGCCGGCCUGAGAGGGUGGACGGCAACAUUGGGACUGAGAUACGGCCCAGACUCCUACGGGAGGCAGCAGUGGGGAAUAUGGCACAAUGGGCGGAAGCCUGAUGCAGCGACGCCGCGUGGGGGAUGACGGCCUUCGGGUUGUAAACUACUUUCGACAGCGAGGAAGCCACCUGGUUGGAAGGGUGGUGACGGUAGUGGUAGAAGAAGCACCGGCUAACUACGUG
This 494-nucleotide ribosomal RNA is filed under the name uncultured bacterium. RNAcentral's name for it is "partial 16S ribosomal RNA". It matches the Rfam family "Bacterial small subunit ribosomal RNA", at positions 28 to 507 of the family's 1533-position model. The record is from RNAcentral.